This 73-nucleotide transfer RNA is filed under the name Trichonephila clavata. It matches the Rfam family "tRNA". From Rfam's summary of the family: Transfer RNA (tRNA) molecules are approximately 80 nucleotides in length. Their secondary structure includes four short double-helical elements and three loops (D, anti-codon, and T loops). Further hydrogen bonds mediate the characteristic L-shaped molecular structure. tRNAs have two regions of fundamental functional importance: the anti-codon, which is responsible for specific mRNA codon recognition, and the 3' end, to which the tRNAs corresponding amino acid is attached (by aminoacyl-tRNA synthetases). tRNAs cope with the degeneracy of the genetic code in two manners: having more than one tRNA (with a specific anti-codon) for a particular amino acid; and 'wobble' base-pairing, i.e. permitting non-standard base-pairing at the 3rd anti-codon position. Lineage: Eukaryota; Metazoa; Arthropoda; Arachnida; Araneae; Nephilidae. The record is from Rfam by way of RNAcentral.
GUCCCUGCAGCGCAAUGGAUAGCGCGUUGAAUUUCUGAUCCAGAGGUCGUGGGUUCGAUUCCCACCUGGGAUG